GAGAGGACCGGAGUGGACGAACCUCUGGUGUUCGGGUUGUGUCGCCAGACGCAUUGCCCGGUAGCUAAGUUCGGAAUCGAUAACCGCUGAAAGCAUCUAAGCGGGAAGCGAGCCCUGAGAUGAGUCUUCCCUGAUACUUUAAGUAUCCUAAAGGGUUGUCGGAGACUACGACGUUGAUAGGUCAGGUGUGUAAGUGCUGUGAGGCAUUGAGCUAACUGAUACUAAUUGCCCGUGAGGCUUAACCAUACA
RNAcentral lists this ribosomal RNA (249 nucleotides) under Vibrio parahaemolyticus. RNAcentral's name for it is "partial 23S ribosomal RNA". It matches the Rfam family "Bacterial large subunit ribosomal RNA", at positions 2685 to 2925 of the family's 2925-position model. Lineage: Bacteria; Pseudomonadati; Pseudomonadota; Gammaproteobacteria; Vibrionales; Vibrionaceae. The record is from RNAcentral.